Tripterygium wilfordii is the source of this 517-nucleotide long non-coding RNA. RefSeq lists it as uncharacterized. NCBI's taxonomy places the organism in Eukaryota, Viridiplantae, Streptophyta, Magnoliopsida, Celastrales, Celastraceae. The record is from RefSeq and is a predicted model, not a curated record. The transcript has 2 exons.
UGUUUAAACAGAUGAGUGAUCUUUUUGGUUGGCUUGAUAGUAAACCCUCCAUCUCAAUUUAUCUGAAGUCUCUCGCUCGCUCUCUGCUGAUUGAAGCUGCAGCUUCCGAUCUUUCACCAUGCCUACCUUAUCUUCGACGAUUCCGUUCCAGAUUCGAUUUAUGUUGCAGAGCGUGAACGAAGCCAACGCUGACUCUAUUUACCGAGAGCUCUGUCAGGCUUCAGUGAAGGAUGUUGCUGGUCAAUUCAAAUUUGCUGAUGGUUGUCUCAUAGUUGUCAAGUCCAACUAAGGCCCUGUUCGGCAUCUGGAACGGUCGGCGGGAAGCUACAAAAGUAGGGUCUGUUUGCGAGUAUGUUUGCACCUGCCAAAUGCACCGUUUUUGGUUUGGAUGCGUUGCGUUUGGACAAGAAAGUGGUACGUUAUUAUAUCCCACAAUACUAUUGUUCUAAUGAGAGUGUCUUUGCACUUGCCAAGUGCACCGCUUUUGGUUUGAAUGCAUCACGUUUCGGAUAAAAAA